Aedes albopictus (Asian tiger mosquito) is the source of this 73-nucleotide non-coding RNA. The record is from Rfam. Lineage: Eukaryota; Metazoa; Arthropoda; Insecta; Diptera; Culicidae.
UGUUCUGUGGCUUAGUUGGUUAAUGCGCCAGACUAGCGAUACGGAGUCGCAGGUUUGAAUCCCAUCAAAACAA